This 1983-nucleotide ribosomal RNA is filed under the name marine metagenome. RNAcentral describes it as "bacterial LSU rRNA". It matches the Rfam family "Bacterial large subunit ribosomal RNA", at positions 648 to 2856 of the family's 2925-position model. The record is from RNAcentral.
AAGCUGUAAAGUGAAGGCAUAGGGAAACCGAAACUUCUGAAAUAGGAGAAAGUUAUAUACAUUUGACCCGAAACCAAGUGAUCUAAUUUUGAGCAGAUUGAAGUCGGAAGAUGGAGGAUCGAACCGACCAGUGUAGAAAAACUGGCGGAUGACUUGAGAUUAGGGGUGAAAGGCUAAUCAAACUUGGAGAUAGCUGGUACUCCGCGAAAGCUAUGUAGGUAGCGCGCACAUGUAAAACUGGGAGUAAAGCACUGUAUCGAGAAGGGUUACCGACUCGAAGCAAACUCAGAACACCAGUAGUUUCAGAAUGUGUAGACAGUCCAUGAGGGAGAAGCUUCAUGGACAAGAGGGAAACAGCCCAGAACAUAAAAUAAGGUUCCAAAGAUUUUGCUAAGUGGAAAGGAAGUGAACAAACGAAGACAGCAAGAAGGUAGGCUUGGAAGCAGCCAUCCUUGAAAGAAAGCGUACCAGCUCACUUGUAUACUGUUUGUUUGCGCCGAAGAUGAAAGGGAACUCAAGCAAAACACCGAAGUUAUGUACUUGAAAAUAUUCAAGUGGUAGCGGAGCAUUCUGUAGACCGUUGAAAUCUUUUUGGGAAAAGAGAUGGAGGAAUCAGAAGAGAGAAUGCUGACAUAAGUAACGAUAAAUAUUGUGAGAAACAAUAUCGCCGAAAACGAAAGGUUUUCUACGUAAAGAUAAUCUGCGUAGAGUUAGACCGGACCCUAAGGUUGAUCUGAAAAGAAUACACCGAUGAGAAUGUUAUAGGAGACACUUUUUCAAGAUACUGUGGACGAGAAAGGCGAAUACAGUGUUGCGAAAGAGGCUAGAAAGAUCUAAUAACACAAAACCGUACUAUAAACCGACACAGGUUCGUACGUCGCGUAGACGAAGGCGCUAGAGAUAACCAUUGAUAAGGAACUCGGCAAAAUGACCUCGUAACAUAGGAGAAGAGGGGCUCUAGCAAUAGAGUGGCACAUAAUCGGGGAGGGCAACUGUUUAAUAAAAACACAUGUCUCUGCAAAAUCGUAAGAUGAAGUAAAGGGACUGACGUCUGCCCGGUGCCAGAAAGAUAAAAGGAGGGGUGAAAGCUUCGAAUUGAAGGACUGGUAAACGGCGGUCGUAACUCUAACGAUCCUAAGGUAGCGUAACCCACUGACAGAUAAUUACUGUCCCGCAUGAAUGACGUAAUGACUUUCCUGCUGUCUCAUCAAUGGACCCUGUGAAAUUGGAAUAUGCGUGAAGAUACGCAUUAACUGUAGCUAGACGGAAAGACCCUAUGCACCUUGACGACAGCUUUUUAUUGUUGAAUGAAAAAAGAUAGACGUAGGAGGUGAAAGCCGAAAUAUGGAAAACUACGUAUCGUUUUUUGUAAAACUAACCCUUACAACCGGGGAAAGUGAAUGGUGGGUCGUUUGGCUGGGGCGGCGGCCUUCGAAAGAGUAACGAAGGCGCACGAAGGUAAACUCAUUGCUGUCGGAAAUAGCAAGUAGAGCGUAAGAGUAUAUGUUUGCCUGACUGUAAGACGUACAUGUCGAGCAGGGACGCAAGUCGGUUCUAGUGAUCCGGUGGUUCUUUAUGGAAAGGCCAUCGCUCAACGGAUAAAAGGUACGCUAGGGAUAACAGGCUGAUACUUCCCAAGAGUUCAUAUCGACGGAAGUGUUUGGCACCUCGAUGUCGGCUCUAGAUAGCGAGCGGCUGGAGCAGGUCGCAAUCGUUGGACUGUUCGUCCAUUAAAAUCUAACGUGAGCUGGGUUUAGAACGUCGUGAGACAGUUCGGUCCCUAUCUACUAUAGUCGCAGAAUUUUGAGAAGAGCUUUCCCUAGUACGAGAGGACCGGGACGGAGCAAUCCAUAGUGAACCAGCUGUUUACUUAAAAGCAUCGCUGGGUAGCCACAUUGCGAACGGAUAACUACUGAAAGCAUAUAAGUAGGAAGCCGCCUUCAAGAUUAGAAUUCAAAGCCCCGAUCUAGACUAGGUCGUUGA